RNAcentral lists this ribosomal RNA (446 nucleotides) under uncultured archaeon. RNAcentral describes it as "bacterial SSU rRNA". It matches the Rfam family "Archaeal small subunit ribosomal RNA", at positions 478 to 924 of the family's 1478-position model. The record is from RNAcentral.
AGCAUCUGAGGUGGUACGGACGAUUAUUGGGCCUAAAGUCUCCGUAGCGCGCUCUGAAAGUUUUCGGUUAAAUCCAUCAGCUAAACGGAUGGGCUGCGGGGAAUACUGCAAAGCUAGGAAGGGGGAGAGGUAAACGGUACUCGGUGGGAAGGGGUAAAAUCCUUUGAUCUAUGGAUGACCACCUGUGGCGAAGGCGGUCUACCAGAACACGUCCGACGGGGAGGGAUGAAAGCUGGGGGAGCAAACCGGAUUAGAUACCCGGGUAGUCCCAGCUGUAAACGAUGCAAACUCAGGGAUGCAUUGGCUUGAGGCCAAUGCAGGGCCGCAGGGAAGCCGUUAAGUUUGCCGCCUGGGAAGUACGUACGCAAGAAUGAAACUUAAAGGAAUUGGCGGGGGAGCACCACAAGGGGGGAAGCCUGCGGUUCAAUUGGAGUACGGGCCCGGAA